Molecule: long non-coding RNA, 228 nt
Filed under: Elaeis guineensis (African oil palm)
Lineage: Eukaryota; Viridiplantae; Streptophyta; Magnoliopsida; Arecales; Arecaceae
Description: long non-coding RNA (EGUI_LNC020066)
Source: RNAcentral
AGGGGGUAUUUUGGUACAGAGUGAUCAUGUUAAGAUCAAAGAUGAUGUGGAUGGAGAUGAUAAAAUUAUUACAUUUGACUGUACCAUGAUGAUUCUAUGAGACAGUGAUCCUAAAUCAUCCUGCUUCUUAAAUCACUAUUUAAUUACGUGAUGAGAAACUUAUCUUUGAUAUCAGGUACCCAACAUCACCCUAGAGCAAUAAUUUUGGGCUGAAAUUUAGAGAUACUG